This is a small nucleolar RNA of Tachyglossus aculeatus (Australian echidna), 138 nucleotides long. NCBI's taxonomy places the organism in Eukaryota, Metazoa, Chordata, Mammalia, Monotremata, Tachyglossidae. The record is from RefSeq and is a predicted model, not a curated record.
ACCCUCUGAGGGUCACACCUGGAGAGUUUCCAGUACUCUACUAGUAUUGACUACGGAAGGGAGAGUCAGGCAGAGGCAUAACCAUUCCAUUUCUAGCUUGGGCAGUGGCUAGUGAGUGGAAAGCAAUCUGCUACAAGU